Molecule: ribosomal RNA, 321 nt
Filed under: Triticum aestivum (bread wheat)
Lineage: Eukaryota; Viridiplantae; Streptophyta; Magnoliopsida; Poales; Poaceae
Description: partial small subunit ribosomal RNA
Source: RNAcentral
AUUCUCAAGCUCUUUGGUGAUGCUUCGGGCCUCAAUGCAAACAUUGCAAAAACUAUAGCAUACCCCAUUGCUUGCACGAACUUGGAUCUCACUACAUUGCUAGCACAGUUUGGUGUGUUGAUGGGGUCUUUCCCUUGUAAGUACCUGGGACUGCCACUUGGACUUAGGAAGCCGAGAAGGGUCGAGGUUCAGCCGGUGCUCGACAAAAUUGCUGGGAAGCUCUCUCCCCGAAAGGGUCGUCUCAUGAAUCGGAUGGGCCGGUUGGUCUACAUCAACUCUGUUGUCACUGCCACAACAACUUUUUUCUUGACGACUUUUUAG